Piliocolobus tephrosceles (Ugandan red Colobus) is the source of this 1949-nucleotide long non-coding RNA. The record is from Ensembl. NCBI's taxonomy places the organism in Eukaryota, Metazoa, Chordata, Mammalia, Primates, Cercopithecidae.
UUUUAUUUAAGCAUAUGUAUGUUUUGUAUGUAUAAGUAUGCGCAUUUGCUUGUCUGUAUGCAUAAAUACGUCAUUCUCUUCAAUUUUUCAUUUAUUUUUUAUUCUUUCUUUGGCAUUAUACUGUCGUUUAUUUGUAUAUAAAUUUUAAAUAUAAAAAGAAAAUAAGAGAAAAUUAUUCACCUUGUAUUAAUUUUUAUAACAAUUUACGUAUUCUCUUGUUAUAUUAUAUACGUAUAUAUUUUUAGCAUAAUAAUAAUAAUAAUAAUAAUCAUGCAAUAUAUGUAUAUACAUCACAAGUUAGAUGAAGGAAGAUCUUAUUUUACAUAAUUUUCAUAAACAUUUUUUUUUUUUUUUUUAUUUAAAAUAAUAAUUUUUUACUACAUUACUCAAAAAAAAAAAUGAAAAAUAAUUUUGAAAAUCAUGACAGUACAGAAGUGUUAGACUUGAGAAAAGAAAAAAAGAAUAAACUACGUUAUUGGACAAAUGGGGAGAAUAGAAAAAAUAAAAAUGACAAAGAUGUAAAAAAUAAUAAACCUGAUAUAAAAAUAAAUUUAAAAAAUAAUAGAAAAAUUACACCAAAUGAAAAUAAUGAAAAUAAUGAAAAUAAUGAAAAUAAUGAAAAUAANNNNNNNNNNAAUGAAAAUAAUGAAAAUAAUGAAAAUAAUGAAAAUAAUGAAAAUAAUGAAAAUAAUAAAAAUAAUAAAAACAUUAAUGGUACUAUUUUAAACAAUAAAUUAAAUGAAAAUAAUAAAGAAAUUAUAGUAGUAAAAAAUAAAAAAGAAUUUAAAAAAAUGGGUGAUGAAACAAAUGAAGGAAAGUAUAUUAACAAUUAUAUUAACAACUAUAUUAACAACAAGGGUAAAAAUAAUCACAAUAUUCAUAAAAAUACCAGUGACACUAGUAAUAAUAUUACUAAUAUUAAAACUGAUAAUAUAAAAAGUAGUGCUAACAUAAAUAAGAAUAUCAAACAAAAAUACACUAACAGUAAUAACAAUAAUAACGAUAACAAUAACAGUAAUAAUAGUAAUAACAGUAAUAAUAAUAAUAAUAAUAAUAAUAAUAAUAAUAGUAAUAGUAAUAGUAAUAGUCGUAAUAGUAAUAGUCAUAAUGGUAAUAGAAUUAUAAGUAAUAAAAAUGGAAGUAAUAAAAAAAAUAAUGCAGAUGAAAGUGACAGCCAUAUAAACAACAAAAAUUAUAAUAAUACUAAAGCGAGUGUUACUAACUAUAACUUAAUAAAAAAAAGUGUAGAACACAAAAAAAAAAGUUAUAACGAUAGAGAAAAGAAUUGUAAAAACUCAUAUCAUAAUUAUGAAAAGGUCAAUUCUGAAAAGGUCAAUUCUGAAAAAGUUAAUUAUGAAAAGGUCAAUUCUGAAAAAGUAAAUUCUGAAAAGGUAAAUUAUGAAAAGGUAAAUUAUGAAAAGGUAAAUUCUGAAAAAGUAAAUUCUGAAAAAGUAAAUUCUGAAAAAGUAAAUUAUGAAAAGGAAAGUGUUGAAAACAAUGGAACUACUAAUGUUAUUACUUCCAAGACUAACAAUAUGACUAGCAAUACUAAUAGUGAAGAAUUGAAAAAAGAAAUAAGUAAAAAUUAUAUGAACAGUGAAAAGAAAACCAAUAAUAAUGAAAAAUUGUCACAUAAUCUUAUUAACAAUAAUGUUUGUAAUAAUCAAAAUAAACUAAACAAAAAUAUCAACCCUGAAAAUAAUAUAAAAAAAAAAUAUACCACAGAACAAAAAAAUAAAAUAAAUUCUUUAAAAAAAGGCAAUAAAAAAAUCAAAAACAAAGCUGAAAGCUAUCUACAAAAUUCGUGGACUUUUUCAUUUGAUAAAGAAAAUAAAAAGUUUUAUGAACGGUUCAUGAACAAUAUAAUAUCCCUAGAAACGUUUAAUACAAUAGAAAAAUUUUAUAAGUAUCACUAAAAAAAAAAAAAAAAAAAAAAAAAAAAUGGAUAA